RNAcentral lists this ribosomal RNA (119 nucleotides) under Pteropus alecto (black flying fox). The record is from RNAcentral. Lineage: Eukaryota; Metazoa; Chordata; Mammalia; Chiroptera; Pteropodidae.
GUCUUCGGCCAUGCCACCCUGAACACGCCCGAUCCCGUCUUAUCUAGGAAGCUAAGCAGGGUCAUGCCUGGUUAGUACUUGGAUGGGAGACCACCUAGGAAGACCAGGUGCUAUAGGCG